UACAGGGGGUGCAAACGUUGCUCGGAAUUAUUGGGCGUAAAGCGUGCGUAGGCGGCUGCGCAAGUCGGGUGUGAAACCCCGGGGCUCAACCCCGGAACUGCAUCCGAUACUGCGUGGCUAGAGGUAGGUAGGGGAGAUCGGAAUUCCAGGUGUAGCGGUGAAAUGCGUAGAUAUCUGGAGGAACACCGGUGGCGAAGGCGGGUCUCUGGGCAGUAACUGACGCUGAGGAGCGAAAGCGUGGGGAGCGAACAGG
Molecule: ribosomal RNA, 253 nt
Filed under: uncultured bacterium
Lineage: Bacteria
Description: partial 16S ribosomal RNA
Rfam family: Bacterial small subunit ribosomal RNA
Source: RNAcentral